RNAcentral lists this ribosomal RNA (301 nucleotides) under uncultured bacterium. RNAcentral describes it as "partial 16S ribosomal RNA". It matches the Rfam family "Bacterial small subunit ribosomal RNA", at positions 509 to 807 of the family's 1533-position model. The record is from RNAcentral.
CAGUAGCCGCGGUAAUACGAAGGGGGCUAGCGUUGUUCGGAAUUACUGGGCGUAAAGGGCGCGUAGGCGGCCAUUCAAGUUAGAUGUGAAAGCCCUGGGCUCAACCUAGGAAUUGCAUUUGAUACUGUUUGGCUUGAGUUCGGGAGAGGUGAGUGGAAUUCCCAGUGUAGAGGUGAAAUUCGUAGAUAUUGGGAAGAACACCAGUGGCGAAGGCGGCUCACUGGACCGACACUGACGCUGAGGCGCGAAAGCGUGGGGAGCAAACAGGACUAGAUACCCCAGUAGUCCCUGUCUCUUAUAC